GACGGAGGAUGCAAGCGUUAUCCGGAAUGAUUGGGCGUAAAGCGUCCGCAGGUAGCAGUUCAAGUCUGCUGUCAAAGACCGGGGCUUAACUUCGGAAAGGCAGUGGAAACUGAACAGCUAGAGUAUGGUAGGGGCAGAGGGAAUUCCUGGUGUAGCGGUGAAAUGCGUAGAUAUCAGGAAGAACAUCGGUGGCGAAGGCGCUCUGCUGGACCAUAACUGACACUCAGGGACGAAAGCUAGGGGAGCGAAUGGG
This 253-nucleotide ribosomal RNA is filed under the name uncultured bacterium. Its description in RNAcentral is "partial 16S ribosomal RNA". It matches the Rfam family "Bacterial small subunit ribosomal RNA", at positions 524 to 776 of the family's 1533-position model. The record is from RNAcentral.